Long non-coding RNA from Lolium perenne, 2423 nucleotides. RefSeq lists it as uncharacterized. The record is from RefSeq and is a predicted model, not a curated record. Lineage: Eukaryota; Viridiplantae; Streptophyta; Magnoliopsida; Poales; Poaceae.
UUUUAUCAUUCUAUUUCUAUCCCCACGCCGACUGCCUUUGGUCAAUUUCCUCGGCAGUCCCACCCCAUAUCCUGCCUUCGGAGACGCCGCUUGGGCUGCUGGUUUCUACGGAUGCAGAGGAGCUACAUACGACCGAGAAUGUUUGGAGCCGGCCGGCGGGGUCAGACUUCAGAGGAGAGCUCCACCCGCAGCCAUGUCUAGGUCUUCAGAUUGGAUUUCAUUGAGGAGGAUGCGGGCGUGCCAAUGGCGCUCUGCAGUUUACAGCGGCAAAACGAGCACCACGUCAGACUCCACCGGUCCACCCUUCCCCCCAGUCCCUACUCGCUUACCGUGCCUCCCAGGUCUCCAACACUUCUCUCUCACGCCCUCUAUUUUCACAGCUGGAGCAUGCGAACGGUCAGAGCGGCGGCGCGGCCGCCAGAGUAGACCUUGCGAACGGCCGGAGAGAUGGCGUGGUUACCGGUACAAGACGACCUGCCCGCAGCAUCGGCGCAUGGGGGGCUUGCAAGCAAGUAACACCAGACGCGUAGAGAAGCAGAUGUGCUGCAUCGACCACGGCCACGACCUCGACAGCGGGCCGGCCGACGGCGACGGAGACAACCACGACGCCAGGGCAUAUCUGCUGUGACAACGAGGUAGAUCCGUAUGUGAUAUCACUGAUAUGGAGUAAGACAAAGCAUCGGGCCAGGUCAUCAGUUCUUUAUGGAAGAACAAUAUGAUGCCUUCUUUGUUCAGGUUCCCUUUACACAUUCAGUAUUGAUCUGUGAUGGUGGGCUUUAUGUUAUAGCACAGUGGAAGUAACAUUCAUCGAUCCAACGGUGCUAACUUCUAUGUUGACGAACCGAACAAACCUCAACUCUUCUCUUCGUUUUCUGAUUAAUUUCAUGUUGCUCUGUCGUGCUCCUAUGAUUUUUUUAGACGGAAGGCUCGAAAUGAGCCCGGCUUUGAAUUAACGAAGCCAUCAACCGGCUAGGAAGUACACCAGAAGUUACAACACACACGCGCCAAGCGCAAACCGAAACCCAAACAAAAGACAACACAUAUAACAUCAAGCCCGCUGAAGCGUCAACUUGAUCCAUGAAGAGGGAGCCUUGUCUUCUGCAGCACCGGAGCAAUCGCGGCCAUGUCCACACCAACAAACCUCCACCGCACCAAGACUGCAAUCCACGGGGAACUUCAACAACGGGCCGGCCACCUGGCAGAGCUUGAGGAUCCAAAGGAGGGAGGGGUCUUGCGGCGCCGCCUCCAAGAAGGUGAAUGGCGCAAGUAUGCGUCAUCGUCGCCGGCAGAGACAAAGGUCCUGCAAAGUUUUCACCCAGACCCGAGAGCUACCACCCCUGGAGCUCGGGCUAGGUCCAGACCAAGAACACAACAUCUUCCCCUGGCGUUGGGAUAAGCACACCGGCAAGACCACGACCAGACGCCGACCUAGCAAAGCCCCCCAAGGCGCUAGGGAGGACAUCGACUACCGCAGACAAACCGUGUAAAAGUAGCCAGGCCGACGCUGCGAGAUGGCUGCGACACCAGCGGGAGAUCACAGGGUGAUCCACAAGACACUUCCAGAGAGGCAUGCCCAAAGCGAGGCCCCCAAGAAUAGAAGGCUGAGACGGAGGGAUGGAGCCCAUCACUACGAUCAGGAGAGACAUCAUCAGGACGCCUUCAACAAGGGAACGACACCCGCAGGUGUCGCCGUCACCGGCACAGGCCACAGCCAUGUGCAGCUUUCGCCGAGGUCCAAAACCCGAUCAAUGUUCCGGACGCCAUCGCGAGGACGUAGAGCAGACAGAGCAGAAAUCACUGUCGCGCCCCCAACCAAAGUCGAAACCUGAACUAGCCCCAACUAGACUCAACCGCAAGGUGUACGCCAACUGGCUGGCAAUGCUCGGCCAGGCCCAGAUCUAGACGUCGACGACGCUAGGUCGGCGGCAACCCAACGACCCCACCAUCCCCAGGGCGUCAACACCUGCACAGGCACGACCAAACUGAUCGGAAGGAAAAAAACCAGACUUUAGCCGCCGGGGGCAGCUGCGAUCUUGGGCAAGCUGCCAAGCCGGCGAGCAAGCGGCGGCCCAGGGACCCAUCCCACAAAGCCAACCAGGACAUAGCCCCCAAGCUACACCAAAACCGCCGGAGAGCCCCCGAGAACCUGGGACUCCGACGUCAAUGGACAUUAAGGUCGCCGGACCCGGGCCUGACGGAACUACAACAGGACCAGCCAUGGCUGAGGCGCUGGCAACCACCAGCGGGCAAGGCCACCAGCAGCGAGAGGAGCCGGCCAGGCCCUAACAGGCCCAGAUCUGGGCCCACAAGCCCAGAUCCCACUGCCACGAGCAAACCCUAGGCGUCCACGCCGCCGGCGGACGGAGCAGCGGCGCGCACGAGGACCCUUCCCCGCCGCGGCCGUCGGCCUCGCGGCCCCCCAC